Molecule: RNA transcript, 2376 nt
Organism: Coccinella septempunctata (seven-spotted ladybird)
Lineage: Eukaryota; Metazoa; Arthropoda; Insecta; Coleoptera; Coccinellidae
Gene name: major facilitator superfamily domain-containing protein 1-like
Exons: 12
Source: RefSeq, a predicted model, not a curated record
AGCGAAAAGUUUUCAAAGAUUGAAUUGAGUAUUAAGAAUAUAUUAAUCUUUAUCUAAGGACUUUCAAUGAACUGAACAUAUUAAUUGAAGUACCAUCUUGUUACGUUGAUAUUCGAUAAGAUUUAAACAUUGUUGAAAUAUCUGGUCUAAAUCUACUUUGGAUAUCAUGAUUAAUAAAUUCCAUUGUUCCAAUCUACCCAAGACAUUUAUCUCGAACAAAGAUAACUGAGUUAUCUGAUUGUAAAUGUGAUCCUCCCCUAUUGUAUUGAUAAAUAGUUACAGAAUAUUCUGAAGUCACUUAGUGGGUGGAUGUGGUUGGAGAAUAUUCAUUUUCACACAGAAAGUCGUUUUAGUGAAUGAUAAGAUGGAGGGUGACAGUAAUCGGGAAGAAACUGCAUCAAAUCUUGGUUCUACAACAAGUUUAUUGCAUUCAGUAACCCAUCCAUCUGGCACAAUUUUUCGAACAGUUGGCUUAGUUUUUCUUUGUUUCGUUGGAUUUGGCUCUUAUUUUUGUUAUGAUAAUCCAGCUGCUCUUCAAGAUAAAAUUGAACGAGAACUAAACAUUUCAACAUCGGAAUAUGUCUGGCUAUAUUCAGUUUAUUCAUGGCCAAAUGUUUUCUUAGGUUUCAUUGGAGGAUUUUUGAUUGAUAGGGUUUUUGGUAUUCGAAUGGGAACAAAUAUAUAUAUGGGUCUGACCCUAUUAGGUCAACUGUGUUUUUCAACUGGAGUAUGGUGGAAUGCUUAUUGGAUGAUGCUUUUUGGACGAUUCAUUUUUGGUAUUGGUGCAGAAUCACUUGCUGUUGCUCAAAACAAUUAUGCAGUUUUAUGGUUCAAAGGAAAAGUAUUGAAUAUGGUUUUUGGACUACAGUUGAGCUUUGCAAGGGUUGGAAGCACUGUUAACUUUAUGGUAAUGGAAGGUGUUUACAAUUUGGUUGAGGAAAGAUUCAAAGGCCUUGAUGGUCUGGCAAUUACAUUUUAUUUAGCUACCAUCACAUGUGUGUUUUCUUUUAUAUGCUCCCUUUUCUUGGGAUUCAUGGAUAAAAAGGCUGAACGAGUUUUGAGAGUUAAUAAUACUGUUCCCUCUGAUCCAGUUAGAAUGUCUGAUGUACGUUUUUUUAGUGGAAAGUUCUGGUUACUGAAUGUUAUCAUUAUAUUCUUCUAUGUGGCCAUAUUUCCUUUCUUCACCAUUGGAAAAUCUUUCUUCAUGGAGAAAUUCCAUAUGAAUGAAUCAGAUGCAAACUUUAUUUGUAGUAUAGUGUAUCUAAUUUCUGGAGUGGUGUCCCCAUUAUUAGGAUUUUUGAUCGAUAAAACAGGAAGAAACCUCUUAUGGAUUAUCACUGGAAUCUCUUUCACUAUUGUUGCACAUAUCAGCCUUACAUUUUUUACUUGGAUAAAUCCUUAUUUUGGCAUGAGCAUCAUGGGUAUAUCAUAUUCUAUACUAGCUAGUAGUUUAUGGCCUUUAAUAUCUCUCGUAAUUCCUGAGCACCAAUUAGGAACAGCUUAUGGGGUUUGCUCGGCCUUACAAAACUCUGGACUGGCAAUAUUUACUUCAAUUGUGGGGGUUAUUGUUGAUCAAUUUGGAUAUACAUGGUCGGAAUUAUUCUUUAUUGGCAGCUUAUCAGUUGCAUUAGUUGCUGCCUUAGUUUUAUUUGUAUGGGAUUUAUGCCAAAAGGAUAUCUUGAAUAUGAGCCCAAAUGCUAGAUUGAGGCAUCAGCAGAGAAUGAUUAAUGGUUCAAGUGGGGAAUUAGUAUGGAGAUGCUCCUCAGCUUUUUCUAAUUUGAUUAAUUUGAAAAGAGCGGUUGUAGAUUCUACCGUUAUUGAUAAGGGGCAGCUCAAAUUUUAGAGAGGGAAAAAUUGAAUGUACAGAGUUCUCAAGGGAGUAGUUAUAGUGAACAUGGACAACCUUCCAAUUUUGAUAUAAGAAUUAGAUACUUGUCGAGAAUUGGCGCACAGUUGCCCCCAUCCUAUAAUUCAGUUGCAAGAACUCUUACUUAUUUGAGGUAACCUGGAAACUGGAGAUACUCUGUCGUGAUAAUGAUCUGUACAAAAUCGUGAUAUUAUUAGCUUUAAGAAUAUUUUUACUUUAUGACUAUUGUCCAAUUGAUUUUUCUGAGAAAUCUUUGACCAUGUCAAUUGCAUAAGAAAAUUUUGCUCAACAUAAUUCAAAAGAUCUCUUGGAUAUACAAAUGUAAAAUAUAACUUAUUUGUGUUACGUUCUAUGUGUGCAUAUAAUAAUUGUAAUAUUAAGUUGAGAAUUUCCUCUUAUUUAAUUUUAAUCAAUUCAAGAAUUUUUUCAUGAUGUAGAUUUAUAUAAGGAAAAUUUUAUAAUAUUGAUUGAAUUUUUAUGGAUUUGAAAAUAAAUGCCAGUGGAAAUAA